GGUACUGCCGUGAUAUUGUUGGGUCUGUACACAGCGCACAAGAGUAGUAACGAUCGGUAGUGUGAAAUUGCUAAAAAGUAAGCGUGCUUCUAGAUUCAACCACAACACAAAUGUGCAUCAUAACUCUCCGCCUGGUGUGGCUAGGCAAUGCAUGAGUGAGGGUGUAAAAUCAACGACGGACAACCCAGCAUGCGCGGUACAUGUUCUCCCACUAGAUUUUAGAAUGGAGAAGGUAGAAGAAUAUAAGCUUGUUGUAGGAACUGUCCGAAAUGCCCUGGUUGACCUUCUCGCAGGGACUCUUGGCGGUAUUGCCACCGUCCUUGUCGGACAGCCUCUCGAUACGGUUAAGGUCAAAAUGCAGACUUUUCCACAAUUAUACAACAAUAGCAUAUUUUGCCUGAAGGAAACGAUACGACAAGACGGUGUAAUGAGAGGGCUGUAUGCGGGAACUGCCCCAGCAAUAGUGGCUAAUGUUGCCGAGAAUGCAGUCCUUUUCGGAGCAUAUGGCCUCUGUCAAAAAAUCGUGAAGACAGCAACCGGAAAAAGGAACCAGCAGGAUCUCUCAUCAAUUGAAAAUGCUAUGGCGGGUGGUAUGGCGUCAAUAUUCUCUUCAUUGACACUCUGCCCUACAGAACUUGUUAAAUGCAAGUUGCAGGCCCUACGAGAAACGAGCGGACACAAACCAACAUUGUCAAUGAUGGCCAUGUGUCGUAUGAUCUAUCGAACGGAUGGUCUAACCGGCUUCUAUCGGGGCAUCGGAGCCACAAUGGUACGAGAGGUGCCAGGCUAUUUUGCAUUUUUUGGAGGAUACGAAGCUGCUCGGCAAGGCUUCGCGAAAUGCUACGGAUGUGCCAAGAAGGACAUUGGUAUCGUGGGUGGUUUUGCACAUCUCGAAGCAGUCAGUCUCUCUCUUCGCAGAUUACCUCGUUUCCGGAAUGGAUUCUAUGCCAGCUCCUGACUCCCAGCCGCGGCUUUCAGAUUUUGUGUCUCGAAUAUUUUAAUUGAUGAAGCAGCUGCAUAGGUGCAGCCAUACUGGUAGCAAACAGAAGAGCAUCAUUGCUUGUUGAACCCUAUGCGAAACCCAUGCAUUGUAAAGCAGAACAAUAUUAUUCGAAUAAUUAGUUUGUAUGGAUGCCUUCUCGUGUUUGUACUAUAUUUGCUGGCGGUCGCUCUAAUAUACACUAAGAAGAAGCUGGUCAAAUAUUUACGGAUUCCAUGGGCAAUUACCACAGCAUACAGCUAUAACUCGAUUCGGACUCAGCGAGGGGAAAAUGGCACAGCGGUAGUUAGAAAAUAAAUUAAUGCACUGUAGAAUUACUCAGUAAGGCAGAUAGGUGAAUGUAGGUUUCUUUACGUUCUGACUGAAUCGGGUUACUGCUCAGGCAAGCAGAAGUAAAGCAGGAUUUUUUGUGGCAAUCCAUACCCUAUCCCGUGCUGUAGAUAUAUACGAAAAACAUCUAUAGAUUAUCGAUCUGGAGUUGCGUUGUAACUUUGUGAGCCCAGCUAUAGACCACCGUGCUGAUCUUAAUGCAUAUAUUAUGCACAUGGAGACUGAUGCAAUACAGUAGUAGGCAAGGCGGUAGUCCGUUGACGAUUCAUAUACUCACUCAUUUUUCUGAACCCAGAUCUCUUCAACGAAUAGGCGUUACUUACUUGAUUAACACAAGUUAAAAACGAAUGUUUAACGGAGACUAAUCAGACAUCUCUAAGGCUUUCUAAGGAUUAAGUGUGAUAACUGACUACAUUAAAAUAAUGCUAAGCGAGUAGAACUUACCUUAACGUACUUGACAAAAUAGGCAAAUACGAAACUUGUAAAUUAUUUUUUUCAAAGAAAUCUCUAAACCUCACUUACUGUCUUCGUCAACUGCUCUCCUAAGGGUCAUCGUGAACUCACUCAAAACAUAGGCAGUCACUGCUUCCAGUUCAUCUUACCACUAAAUGUUCGUGCGAUCACGAGUGAUAGCCCCUGCAGUCUAUCGGAUCGCUCCCGUAUUUUAUAUUGCCCUGGAAACCUUUUCGUCUCGGACCUUAUAUCUACUUAGACGUAACCACCGCCAACCGUGCAGACAAAACAGAAGCCUUUGACUGUUGAACUUUGGUAUUUUGCACCGCACAACUAUUAACAUGAAUCUGGGGGCAACCGGUAACCGGGGUUGUUCUCUGGGUGAGAACGAAAAUCAUUGCAAUCUGCCGGACAUCGAACGAAGUUGCAAUAGCUCAA
Molecule: non-coding RNA, 2221 nt
Organism: Varroa destructor (honeybee mite)
Lineage: Eukaryota; Metazoa; Arthropoda; Arachnida; Mesostigmata; Varroidae
Source: RefSeq, a predicted model, not a curated record